CCUCCACUUGUACCAGGGGCGAUAUGUGUGAGCAAUAGCAUAUAGCAGAAAAGACUGCAUGCUGCUUCUAAGAUUUGUUUUGGGUGCUCUUUUGCUUAUUUUACAGCUCUCUUCUUCUCAUAGGGUUUGCUUUGGGAGAAGGCAGCAGCUCUGUAAAAAGGUCCACCUGAAGGCUCUUGUCAACAGUCAAAUGAGUGAUCUUGGAAGUAUAUAGAUUCUCCAUUCCAACUGGAUGACUGCAGCCCUAGCCAACAACCUCAAUGCAACCCCAUAACCUAAAGGAAUAGAGCCAGCUGACCAUGGACUGAAACCUCUGAAGCCAUGAGCCAAAGAUGAACCUGUCUUCAUGAAGUUAUUUUUCUAAGCCAUUGCCUUAGCACUGACCUAUACCUGGACUAUUGCAAUAACAUGUUGAUGCAGAAUACACAAAAGCCAGAGGAGAUAAAGAAGCCAAAAGCCAUUCAGUGGUGUCAGUGUCCAAAAUACGAGAUGCAGCAGUAGUGAGUAAAUUUUUAAGUUCAACAGGGAAUUCAGAGGCAAGGAAAAGAAAUGCAUGCACCGUGGAGAAUCACACUAGCUGCUACACUCAUCAGGAGCAAAAUAUGUGUG
Long non-coding RNA from Heterocephalus glaber (naked mole-rat), 609 nucleotides. The record is from Ensembl. NCBI's taxonomy places the organism in Eukaryota, Metazoa, Chordata, Mammalia, Rodentia, Bathyergidae.